This is a non-coding RNA of Equus caballus (horse), 407 nucleotides long. NCBI's taxonomy places the organism in Eukaryota, Metazoa, Chordata, Mammalia, Perissodactyla, Equidae. The record is from RefSeq and is a predicted model, not a curated record.
UUUGUCGUUUGUCUGUUCCGCGGCUUUUCGUCUGUGUAGUCAAAAAGUAUUUACUGAGUGCCACCGUGAUCUCGACAGAUAGCCACGGCCCCUGCCGUUAUGGAGGUUACCGAGUGGCGGAGGAGGCCGACAUCAGUCAACAAGCCGUGCAGAAGCCUGAGUUUGUGUAGGUGUUUUGGCUGUCAGUUCAAGCUGAGGUCUCAGCCGAAAGGCAUCAUCAGCCACCAGAUGCGAGAGUGAACGAACCUGUGGAAGAUUGCAGCCCCCAACUGUCAAGUCACUAACAGCCUUCCAGACUUCCAAAUUGGAGCCCCAGAAAUUGUGGAGCAGAGACAUCCUCACUAGGCUUUUUCUGAAUUCCUGACCUACAGAAUUUGGGGGCAUAAUAAAAAGGUGGUUAUUUCAUA